GGGAUAACUAUUGGAAACGAUAGCUAAUACCGCAUAAUAUUAAUUAUUGCAUGAUAAUUGAUUGAAAGAUGCAAGCGCAUCACUAGUAGAUGGACCUGCGUUGUAUUAGCUAGUUGGUAAGGUAAGAGCUUACCAAGGCGACGAUACAUAGCCGACCUGAGAGGGUGAUCGGCCACACUGGGACUGAGACACGGCCCAGACUCCUACGGGAGGCAGCAGUAGGGAAUCUUCGGCAAUGGACGAAAGUCUGACCGAGCAACGCCGCGUGAGUGAAGAAGGUUUUCGGAUCGUAAAGCUCUGUUGUAAGUCAAGAACGUGUGCGAGAGUGGAAAGUUCACACAGUGACGGUAGCUUACCAGAAAGGGACGGCUAACUACGUGCCAGCAGCCGCGGUAAUACGUAGGUCCCGAGCGUUGUCCGGAUUUAUUGGGCGUAAAGGGAGCGCAGGCGGUCAGGAAAGUCUGGAGUAAAAGGCUAUGGCUCAACCAUAGUGUGCUCUGGAAACUGUCUGACUUGAGUGCAGAAGGGGAGAGUGGAAUUCCAUGUGUAGCGGUGAAAUGCGUAGAUAUAUGGAGGAACACCAGUGGCGAAAGCGGCUCUCUGGUCUGUCACUGACGCUGAGGCUCGAAAGCGUGGGUAGCGAACAGGAUUAGAUACCCUGGUAGUCCACGCCGUAAACGAUGAGU
RNAcentral lists this ribosomal RNA (686 nucleotides) under uncultured bacterium. Its description in RNAcentral is "bacterial SSU rRNA". It matches the Rfam family "Bacterial small subunit ribosomal RNA", at positions 140 to 814 of the family's 1533-position model. The record is from RNAcentral.